AUACGUAGGCAGCAAGCGUUGUUCGGAGUUACUGGGCGUAAAGGGUGCGUAGGCGGUUCUCUAAGUUUGGUGUGAAAUCUCCCGGCUCAACUGGGAGGGUGCGCCGAAAACUGGGGAGCUAGAGUGUGGGAGAGGUGAGUGGAAUUCCUGGUGUAGCGGUGAAAUGCGUAGAUAUCAGGAGGAACAUCAGUGGCGAAGGCGACUAUCUGGACAGUAACUGACGCUGAGGCGCGAAAGCGUGGGGAGC
This 247-nucleotide ribosomal RNA is filed under the name uncultured bacterium. Its description in RNAcentral is "partial 16S ribosomal RNA". It matches the Rfam family "Bacterial small subunit ribosomal RNA", at positions 523 to 769 of the family's 1533-position model. The record is from RNAcentral.